CCCCCGGCGGCGGCCCCCGCCCUAGCGCCCGGUACUUGCCUGCAGGCGAGCGCCACCACAGUCAGCCCGCGGCUUUUCUGUCUUCCUUUCUGGCCCAGCGAGAGCGCCCAGGGGGUGGGCGUCUUGCCCCGGGCGUCGAGAGUUUGGGGCCGUCCCGUACGCGGCGCGCCGCAACCCAGUCCCCGCGACCACAGCAGCCUGCUCCCCACCGCGCUUGCAGAGCCCGGACGCGCGUGAGUCGGGGGCCCGCAGAGGCCUCACCCUUGGAGGUCGCCGCUUGUCAGGCCUGACUGCUGUUGGCGCCCACCCCGCCGCCCCCGAGGGGCCGCUCGAGGCCGGACUGCUGCUUUGCCGUGGCAGGCCCCACCCGGGACGUGGCGCUGCGGGCCGGGGCGGUCCAGCUGGCAAUCCCUACUCCCUGCCAAAGGAGAACCCAGUUACUGAACAUCGGAUGAGACCAUGGAUAGUAAAUUGGGAGUGAAGGUCCAUACCUGGGUCUCAGAAGCACAGUACAGGUAAAGCUAAGAGUUAUUUCCUCCUUCUCUUUCCCCAUCCAACAACAGGAUUUUUAGAACAAGCCACCUUAUACAAGUUAAAAUUCAUGAAGGAAUGGAUACAGGUUAAGGUACACCAGCCUCCUGAGUAUGACAGCAACAUUCCUUCAGGGAUUAAAGAAAAUGCUUCAGAAGAUUGGAACACUGCUCAGCCUUCCCAACCUUCUUUUACCACUGAUGUUUCUACCUUAGUGAUCUUCCUCCUUAUUUUAAUGCUUCUUUCUCUUUACAAUUAAAAGUUCAUAAAAUCUUUCAACAUUAUUUUUCACUACAAAAGUCUGAAGUUCUCUGUGAAAUGCCUACAUGUAAGAAUUAAGAUAGAUUUUAAAGACUGUCAGUCUCAAAAUUCCAUGCUCAUCAGUUAGUGCAUGAUAUUAAAUUAUGCUUUUUUCCUCCUUUUAAAUAUACCAACAUUAUAUUGCUGAUUUUUUUAUUUACCUGGGUAAGAGCACUGACUCGGUUCUCACUAGGAAACAAAGGUGGGUCUUCUCCAACUUGAAAAUCAAAAUAUACAGUUUUAUGUGUGAAAGUAGAAAAUUCAUUGCUGAAGCAAAAUUUGUAUGUCCCAUUUUUGGAGGCUGUGAAGGUAAAACUAUCAUACUGUUUCUUCAUCUCUUUGUAUAACACUUUACCAUCAGGAUCUUCUAAUCGACAAUCUACAUCA
RNAcentral lists this long non-coding RNA (1218 nucleotides) under Homo sapiens (human). Its description in RNAcentral is "HSALNT0093081". The record is from RNAcentral. Lineage: Eukaryota; Metazoa; Chordata; Mammalia; Primates; Hominidae.